This 841-nucleotide ribosomal RNA is filed under the name Pseudocercospora sp. ZJUM 11. RNAcentral's name for it is "eukaryotic LSU rRNA". It matches the Rfam family "Eukaryotic large subunit ribosomal RNA", at positions 62 to 935 of the family's 3401-position model. The record is from RNAcentral. RNAcentral also lists the same sequence under 7 other names. Lineage: Eukaryota; Fungi; Ascomycota; Dothideomycetes; Mycosphaerellales; Mycosphaerellaceae.
AAACCAACAGGGAUUGCCCUAGUAACGGCGAGUGAAGCGGCAACAGCUCAAAUUUGAAAUCUGGCGUAAGCCCGAGUUGUAAUUUGUAGAGGAUGCUUCUGGGUAGCGGCCGGUCUAAGUUCCUUGGAACAGGACGUCAUAGAGGGUGAGAAUCCCGUAUGUGACUGGCUUGCACCCUCCACGUAGCUCCUUCGACGAGUCGAGUUGUUUGGGAAUGCAGCUCUAAAUGGGAGGUAAAUUUCUUCUAAAGCUAAAUACCGGCCAGAGACCGAUAGCGCACAAGUAGAGUGAUCGAAAGAUGAAAAGCACUUUGGAAAGAGAGUUAAAAAGCACGUGAAAUUGUUGAAAGGGAAGCGCCCGCAACCAGACUUUGCGGCGGUGUUCGGCUGGUCUUCUGACCGGUUUACUCGCCGCCGUGAGGCCAUCAUCGUCUGGGACCGCUGGAUAAGACCUGAGGAAUGUAGCUCCCUUCGGGGUGUGUUAUAGCCUCUGGUGAUGCAGCGCGUCUCGGGCGAGGUCCGCGCUUCGGCAAGGAUGAUGGCGUAAUGGUUGUCGGCGGCCCGUCUUGAAACACGGACCAAGGAGUCUAACAUCUAUGCGAGUGUUCGGGUGUCAAACCCCUACGCGUAAUGAAAGUGAACGGAGGUGGGAACUUUUUGUGCACCAUCGACCGAUCCUGAUGUCCUCGGAUGGAUUUGAGUAAGAGCAUAGCUGUUGGGACCCGAAAGAUGGUGAACUAUGCCUGAAUAGGGUGAAGCCAGAGGAAACUCUGGUGGAGGCUCGCAGCGGUUCUGACGUGCAAAUCGAUCGUCAAAUUUGGGUAUAGGGGCGAAAGACUAAU